CUUUUUUAUUUUUUUGGUUAUUGAUAAUGAUUUGGGAUUGGCUUUAAAGGAGAGGUUACUCAGGUGCACCGCCGGCGGCAGUGACGGCUAGCUUUGGUAGGCCUGGAGCGAUGGGGAAAGUGGAACGAAGAGAUGCGAUGAAAGAGUCGUCGUCGUCGGAGACAAGGGCUUAUUCUUCAGCUUGGGCGCCUGACCCUGUUACGGGGUAUUACCGGCCGGAGAACUGUGGGGCUGAGAUCGAUGCGGCGGAGCUCCGGGAGAUGUUGUUGAAUCACAGGGUUAGAUCACAGUAGAAACUUGCCACCGCAUGUGAUCACCGUAGCAGAGCAGAGCCAGAAUGUUUUGCAGAUGUUUGGGUGCCUUUGUAUUUUGUUUUGGUUUUGAGUUCAAAAUCUUUUAUCUUAAUAAUCGGUAGUAUUUCUUAUAAAGAGUGUAGUGUGCUUAACUUUAAGCUAAAGCAGAAAAUUCACUAAAUUACCA
RNAcentral lists this long non-coding RNA (480 nucleotides) under Gossypium barbadense (sea-island cotton). RNAcentral's name for it is "long non-coding RNA (GBAR_LNC009457)". The record is from RNAcentral. Lineage: Eukaryota; Viridiplantae; Streptophyta; Magnoliopsida; Malvales; Malvaceae.